This 131-nucleotide ribosomal RNA is filed under the name Nectriopsis exigua. RNAcentral describes it as "partial small subunit ribosomal RNA". It matches the Rfam family "Eukaryotic small subunit ribosomal RNA", at positions 1651 to 1779 of the family's 1831-position model. The record is from RNAcentral. Lineage: Eukaryota; Fungi; Ascomycota; Sordariomycetes; Hypocreales; Bionectriaceae.
CCCUGCCCUUUGUACACACCGCCCGUCGCUACUACCGAUUGAAUGGCUUAGUGAGGCUUUCGGAUUGGACUUUGGCAGCUGGCAACAGCAGCUAGGGACUAAAAAGUCAUCCAAACUUGGUCAUUUAGAGG